Molecule: ribosomal RNA, 497 nt
Filed under: uncultured bacterium
Lineage: Bacteria
Description: partial 16S ribosomal RNA
Rfam family: Bacterial small subunit ribosomal RNA
Source: RNAcentral
GAUGAACGCUGGCGGCGUGCCUAAUACAUGCGAGUCGAGCGAACAGACGAGGAGCUUGCUCCUCUGACGUUAGCGGCGGACGGGUGAGUAACACGUGGAUAACCUACCUAUAAGACUGGGAUAACUUCGGGAAACCGGAGCUAAUACCGGAUAAUAUAUUGAACCGCAUGGUUCAAUGGUGAAAGACGGUUUUGCUGUCACUUAUAGAUGGAUCCGCGCCGCAUUAGCUAGUUGGUAAGGUAACGGCUUACCAAGGCAACGAUGCGUAGCCGACCUGAGAGGGUGAUCGGCCACACUGGAACUGAGACACGGUCCAGACUCCUACGGGAGGCAGCAGUAGGGAAUCUUCCGCAAUGGGCGAAAGCCUGACGGAGCAACGCCGCGUGAGUGAUGAAGGUCUUCGGAUCGUAAAACUCUGUUAUUAGGGAAGAACAAAUGUGUAAGUAACUAUGCACGUCUUGACGGUACCUAAUCAGAAAGCCACGGCUAACUACGUG